AGGGUAAUAACUUAGUGGUAGAGUGCAUGCUUAGCAUGCACAAGGUCCUGGGUUCAAUCCCCAGUACCUCCA
Transfer RNA from Camelus ferus (Wild Bactrian camel), 72 nucleotides. It matches the Rfam family "tRNA". From Rfam's summary of the family: Transfer RNA (tRNA) molecules are approximately 80 nucleotides in length. Their secondary structure includes four short double-helical elements and three loops (D, anti-codon, and T loops). The record is from Rfam. Lineage: Eukaryota; Metazoa; Chordata; Mammalia; Artiodactyla; Camelidae.